This 433-nucleotide ribosomal RNA is filed under the name uncultured bacterium. RNAcentral describes it as "partial 16S ribosomal RNA". It matches the Rfam family "Bacterial small subunit ribosomal RNA", at positions 29 to 507 of the family's 1533-position model. The record is from RNAcentral.
AACGAACGCUGGCGGCAUGCCUAACACAUGCAAGUCGAACGAGACCUUCGGGUCUAGUGGCGCACGGGUGCGUAACGCGUGGGAACCUGCCCUUAGGUUCGGAAUAACUCCCCGAAAGGGGUGCUAAUACCGGAUAAUGUCUUCGGACCAAAGAUUUAUCGCCUUUGGAUGGGCCCGCGUUGGAUUAGCUAGUUGGUAGGGUAAAAGCCUACCAAGGCGACGAUCCAUAGCUGGUCUGAGAGGAUGAUCAGCCACACUGGGACUGAGACACGGCCCAGACUCCUACGGGAGGCAGCAGUGGGGAAUAUUGGACAAUGGUCGAAAGCCUGAUCCAGCAAUGCCGCGUGAGUGAUGAAGGCCUUAGGGUUGUAAAGCUCUUUUACCCGGGAUGAUAAUGACAGUACCGGGAGAAUAAGCUCCGGCUAACUCCGUG